This 1309-nucleotide long non-coding RNA is filed under the name Mus musculus (house mouse). RNAcentral describes it as "long non-coding RNA chr14:62607176-62608485". The record is from RNAcentral. Lineage: Eukaryota; Metazoa; Chordata; Mammalia; Rodentia; Muridae.
GCCAGAGCUGACUUGACAAUUGUUCACACUCAGAAAGUAAAAUAACUAAGGCCAAAGUGUUGAAGGGGGAAAGAACACCCAGGGACUGGCCCCACGUCAGUGUGCAGUACAGAAUGCAUGCCUUCCUAGUGCCCACUGUCACACAGGGACCCAGGACCGUAGAAUCCAGAAGUGCUGCUUCCGGUGGGUGCUUCAUAGAACAGCCAGCAACCUACAGCAGACAGCAGAAAGCCUUGCUUUGAAACCAUUCAGCACUUGAAAAUCUGGGUCUACACACAACUGGCUAGCAAGCCUUAUAAAGACUUAGCAUGAGUACCCAAUGCCUUGCACACUUACAAAAUACUCUGAGUAUGAAAGCUACCUUUGCACACUCUUCCUCAGCCGACUCAUGUUGGUAAGCAAGCCUGCAGACCGUCCCUUCUGGACUGAUUUGUAUAAGGGGAUUCAUGGCCUGCAGUUACAAAUAACAGGUUAUGAGGUAUGCUGGGGAAGCAGGCAGGAGAAUCUCUGACUUUAAAAAGCACACGUUUCGAAAGGGCUACAUAUAUCUCUCCAUAAAUGACCAGAGCCAUCUUUUGUAAUUUGUAGCACUGUGCCCAGUAAACAGUUAAAAUGCUUGGAACAUUUUUGGCUGUCCUUUUGAUUGUCCAUGUGAGCCAGUGCCCCAUGCCCCAAAGUAGGAAAGUGUGUGGUGCUGUCCCACAGGGCCAGCCUCCAGCUAGUGCGCAGGAGCCUUGGGGAGAGCGGACACUACAGUCACCCAGCUUCCCCAUCUGUUGUCCGUUGCUGCCACCGUGUGAAUGGUGACCAGACCUCCCAGUGAGGCUAUGUUUACAACCCCACCUCACCAAAUGCCAACUUCUGGCAUUGGGAUCAAUGCCAAACUAUCCCCAGAUUCUGUUUAAUCGUGGGAAAGAAAAGCAUGGGCGUGUUCUGUUCCCUGCCAGCGUGGUGCUUCUUGCCUCCUCUCUGGAAGGGCCUACACCAGCUCAGAUGCACUCUCGGAGCCUUUCCAGCAGGACCUUCAAGCUCUCUUACGCAUCACUGUCCAUCAGCCUCGGGUCCACCAUCCUCACAAGGAAAGCCUGGGCCUCUCUCUUUGGACUUUGCAGGACUCUGAGGUCAUCUCGGUGUAAAUAAAUAAAAACGUGGACUGUCCUGAUUCUGGAUCAACCUCUGAAAAAGCCAACCUCUGGAAAGGGCUAAAUGAUAAGUAUUUUAAAGUUUGUCACAUCAUGUUUUAAACUUUAUCCAAAUGUGUUGCUAUCGCUUCUAUUGCAGCAUGAAAAAUAAAAGAUAUGUGAAUGGG